Molecule: long non-coding RNA, 298 nt
Organism: Peromyscus eremicus (cactus mouse)
Lineage: Eukaryota; Metazoa; Chordata; Mammalia; Rodentia; Cricetidae
Exons: 2
Source: RefSeq, a predicted model, not a curated record
GACUCAUGUGGAUUGAUCGUAAUAGGGGAUCCUCUGCAGAACACAAGUGGCUAUUGCCUAUUCAAGAUGCAGGGAAGAGCCUCUCCAGAGCUGCAGGCACCAAGGAGAAUCUUAACAUCAGACCAAGAUGACGUGGUGGGAAAAUGCUUCCCCAGGCCCCAGUGUGGCCAUGGGGUGGAAGGAACCAAGUGGACAGAGCCAUCCUGCACCCCAUCCCCCACUGAUCAUAUUCUCAGUCUAGCUGGUAAUAGCUCCAGGAGGGCAGAGCCUUGAUGGAUAAUGAGACCGUUCUCAAGAA